CCCUUGUUAAAAUUUGUACUUUGUGGAUACCCAUGGAUCUUGAAACACUUAUCAAUUAAGUGUCCAGAUUUUUUACAGUAUCUACAGAAUAAAGGUCUUUUGGCCUGAUCAAAAUUGACUCUCUGUCUGAAAGGAGAAGGAGGAAUAGGCACUGUGGCCUUGUUAAAUCCAACAGGCUGCGUAUUAGAAUGGACAUUGAAAGAGACAGAGUCAGGAUUAAAGUCAGAAGGAGACUGGACUUGUCUUUGCUUCUCAUCAUUGAGGACCAUAUUAUAGACAUUGUCAAGCUGGACUUGUCUUUGCUUAUCAUCACUGAGGACCAUAUUAUAGACAUUGUCAAGAGUUGGAGGAGGCUGCAUCAUCAUAAAAUUACUCCUUACCCCCAUAUAUGCUUCAUUCAAACCCAUUAAAAACUGAAAGACCUUAUUGUCAUCACUUUCCUGUACUAUGCCAUCUUUGGCAGCACAAACACAUCUUAGACCAUGAUUAACACACAUUGAAUCAAGUUCAUCCCACAGACCUUUUAGCUUAUUAAAAUACGAAGCUAUAUCUAAGGACCCUUGAGAAGUGUGGGACAACUCUGUUUUCAACUCAAAAAUUUUGGUCCUGUUUGCAGUGCCAUAUCUAGCAUGAAGUUGGGACCAUAUAUUUUGUGCAGUAUCAGAAUACUGCACACUUUCAGCAAUUUGUGGGGAGAGGGAGGCAGUUAACCAAGAAAUCACCAUGUUAUUGCACCUAUCCCAUAACCUUUGUUGAGCCACAUUAGUGGCUGGUCGGGAGCACGUCCCAUCAACAAAACCAAUCUUAUUUUUAGCAGAUAAUGGAACAAACAUUUUUCUCCUCCAACCCCCAUAACCAUUUCCCGAGAAGGGAGUAGGAACGAGAGAGACCCCAGGCACAUCAGAGGAGUAUACAAAUAGAGGACUGGUAGAGUCUACCGAGGAGGAGGUACCAGUAUUCGUAUUAGAAGUCAUGAUUAAUGCACCAGUUUGAAAAGAAAAACAGUUUCGACAAGCAAAAUAUCACGAAACCAGAUAUUCACACACGAAGCCAAAUAAUCACACACAAAGUAUACAAUACUCAAGAGAAGUACAGAGUUACCCUCCUUCUUCGCGACCGGAGAAGAUCGGCCUUCA
Molecule: long non-coding RNA, 1136 nt
Filed under: Nicotiana benthamiana
Lineage: Eukaryota; Viridiplantae; Streptophyta; Magnoliopsida; Solanales; Solanaceae
Description: long non-coding RNA (NBEN_LNC014753)
Source: RNAcentral